CCACGACCGAUCUGUAGCCUUAAGACAUUAGUUAGUGGAUCACUUUUCUCCAUCGUAUCACCAUCUCGUUGGCGUCAAGGAGAAAAGGAAUUUAUGAGAAAGGAUAUGCAGGAUCUCCUGUGAAGAUUUAAUUUUGGGUGUUUGAUUCGGAUUCAGAAUUCUAGCGGAUACCAAAUCAGGAGUAAGGUUGUGGUUACUAGCAUAGCUGUGGUUACCAAGCGUCAGGCUCCCCUCUUUGUUAGGUUGUUUAUAUGUUUUCCUAUCACCUUGUAGACCUCGAACUUGUUAUUUGCUUUCAUGUUGUAUCUUGAACUUGUAGUACCUC
Long non-coding RNA from Dioscorea cayenensis subsp. rotundata (Guinea yam), 325 nucleotides. RefSeq lists it as uncharacterized. NCBI's taxonomy places the organism in Eukaryota, Viridiplantae, Streptophyta, Magnoliopsida, Dioscoreales, Dioscoreaceae. The transcript is spliced from 3 exons. The record is from RefSeq and is a predicted model, not a curated record.